This 432-nucleotide ribosomal RNA is filed under the name uncultured archaeon. RNAcentral's name for it is "bacterial SSU rRNA". It matches the Rfam family "Archaeal small subunit ribosomal RNA", at positions 474 to 903 of the family's 1478-position model. The record is from RNAcentral.
UACCAGCUCUCCGAGUGGUGUGGAUGUUUAUUGGGCCUAAAGCAUCCGUAGCUGGCUGGGCAAGUCCCCUGUUAAAUCCACCGAUUUAAUCGUUGGAGUGCGGGGGAUACUGUUCGGCUAGGGGACGGGAGAGGCAGACGGUAUUUUCGGGGUAGGGGUGAAAUCCUAUAAUCCCGGGAAGACCACCAGUGGCGAAGGCUGUCUGCUAGAACGCGCCCGACGGUGAGGGACGAAAGCUGGGGGAGCGAACCGGAUUUAGAUACCCGGGUAGUCCCAGCUGUAAACGAUGCAGGCUAGGUGUUUGGGCGGCCACGUGCCGCUCUAGUGCCGCAGGGAAGACCGUUAAGCCUGCCGCCUGGGGAGUACGGCCGCAAGGCUGAAACUUAAAGGAAUUGGCGGGGGAGCACCACAAGGGCGUGAAGCUUGCGGUUC